GCGCUGGUAGUCUAGUGGUAGGAUCACAGCCUUCCAAGCUGUUGACCCGGGUUCAAAUCCCGGCCGGCGCA
Molecule: transfer RNA, 71 nt
Filed under: Nanobdellota archaeon
Lineage: Archaea; Nanobdellati; Nanobdellota
Description: tRNA-Gly
Rfam family: tRNA
About the family: Transfer RNA (tRNA) molecules are approximately 80 nucleotides in length. Their secondary structure includes four short double-helical elements and three loops (D, anti-codon, and T loops).
Source: RNAcentral